AAUUAAAUGGGCAGCCACCCACCUCCACCAAUCAAAGAGGAGGCAGCCAACCCUCUCCCUCUAUAAAUAGAGCUUGGCCGGCCACCUCCUCCCCAUUUGCUCAUUUUCUACACUCUCCACUCCUUCCUCCACUCCCCCACACUCCUCUCCUACCUCUUCCCCACGAGCUGAAGCUCCCCCAAGGCUCCAUGGCCGGCCAUGGCCAUGGGAUCACACCAAACCGCAGCUCUCCUUCUCUCUCAAGCUCCUCCUCCCCAUGAGAGCAUUCCUCUCACUCUCUUCUCCCCCAACCCUAGCUGGUUUCCUCUCCUCUUCUUCUUCCUCCAUUGCUAAGAUUGGAUCUUGAUGCAGGUGCAUGUUGGUCCAAGCAUGGAGAAGGUUGAGCAAUCCUCAGAUCUGAAGCUCUUGACCAAAAUCCAAAUCCAGUGAUUCAAAGUUCCGCAGAUAGGUAUUGAAAAGAUCUACAAUUUGGCGUUGGUCUCAUCCUCAAAUUCGUUACGGAUUUUGCAUGAUCAAGAUCUGGUCAGAUCUGACUUUGUCGAAUUAAACCAGGAGCCUGGAGACGAAUUUUUGAAUGAAACCAAUUGGGGGAUGUUUGGUUUAUACCAUGUUGAUAACCGAGAGAGGCAAUUGCUAAGUUGUGAUGCACUCAUACCUUUACUAGAUGCGAACAAUUCCGGAGAAGAAGAAGAAGUGGAAUCGGAUGAAAAGAUUAUUUAUAUUGUUGGAAUUCUUAUAUUGAUGGAGUUGAAAAAGUACAGGGACAAAUAAGCCAA
This is a non-coding RNA of Lolium perenne, 776 nucleotides long. NCBI's taxonomy places the organism in Eukaryota, Viridiplantae, Streptophyta, Magnoliopsida, Poales, Poaceae. The record is from RefSeq and is a predicted model, not a curated record.